GAGACCUUGGAGCUCGCAGCAGGAGCAGGAGUUGUUCUUUUUGACUGUAUAUCGAGGGAAUUCCUACCGUCCUUCAUGCUGUGCGUAGCAUAACCUUUGAUAACGUAGUAGGCGAGACAAGUCAUGACUCAUCACAUUGAGUUUCCCCCUCUUAUACAUGACUCUUUUUAACAGGUUAUUCUUGAGAGAGAACGUGUUGUUACUUACUGUCUGCCACCAUCGUUAUGCCACCGACUCAGUUAUACAGCGUGCCAUCUAAAUAGCUGCUGUCCCUAAGGAAAUAUUUUUUAUCACAAUAUAUCUUUGGUUUUGGGUCUUACAUCCUCAGAAGUCUCAAAGUGUUUCAUGAAGAAUGGUCUAGGAAUGGAAAUAAAGGAGCAUCACGACCUGCUAGGAGCACGGGAAAAGUAGUGGUCAAUAAGGAAUGUUUUUCUCACAGAUGGAAAAUAGUUGGAAGUGUGGGGUUCACACCCCACUCUUUUUAAGAGUGCCUGGUUAUUAAUAAUGUCCAUGUGUAGACAUAAGCCUCUAAUGUUAUUCCACUGAGUAGAGCCAGG
This 557-nucleotide long non-coding RNA is filed under the name Anas platyrhynchos platyrhynchos (common mallard). RNAcentral's name for it is "lncRNA (ENSAPLG00000020608.1)". Lineage: Eukaryota; Metazoa; Chordata; Aves; Anseriformes; Anatidae. The record is from RNAcentral.